ACCCACAGAGAGAACAGACUCGCGUCAUCUGAUCUCGGAAGCUAAGCAGGGUUGGGCCUGGUUAGUACUUGGAUCAGAGAACAGACUUGUGGGUG
Molecule: ribosomal RNA, 95 nt
Organism: Bison bison bison
Lineage: Eukaryota; Metazoa; Chordata; Mammalia; Artiodactyla; Bovidae
Source: Ensembl